AACGAACGCUGGCGGCAUGCCCAACACAUGCAAGUCGAACGAGACCUUCGGGUCUAGUGGCGCACGGGUGCGUAACGCGUGGGAACCUGCCCUUAGGUUCGGAAUAACUCCCCGAAAGGGGUGCUAAUACCGGAUAAUGUCUUCGGACCAAAGAUUUAUCGCCUUUGGAUGGGCCCGCGUUGGAUUAGCUAGUUGGUAGGGUAAAAGCCUACCAAGGCGACGAUCCAUAGCUGGUCUGAGAGGAUGAUCAGCCACACUGGGACUGAGACACGGCCCAGACUCCUACGGGAGGCAGCAGUGGGGAAUAUUGGACAAUGGGCGAAAGCCUGAUCCAGCAAUGCCGCGUGAGUGAUGAAGGCCUUAGGGUUGUAAAGCCCUUUUACCCGGGAUGAUAAUGACAGUACCGGGAGAAUAAGCUCCGGCUAACUCCGUG
RNAcentral lists this ribosomal RNA (433 nucleotides) under uncultured bacterium. RNAcentral describes it as "partial 16S ribosomal RNA". It matches the Rfam family "Bacterial small subunit ribosomal RNA", at positions 29 to 507 of the family's 1533-position model. The record is from RNAcentral.